UAAAAACAUCUUUUUCCUGCUAAAUAGACACACUCUCCACCCUCUUUUAGUCAAUCUUCCACAAAAUUAGAUAAGGAGAAAUAACCCUUUGUUUCACAUCCGCUGACUCAGAUACGAGCAUUAUUCAACUGGGCGGGGGUGGCAGUGGAUGGGAGGGGGCUGAGCAAACUACAAGUGGAGGAAGAAGAGGACAGCCUAGGAGAGGGAGGGCAGAAGAAAGGAGAGCACAUUGUGCAGGGGCACAGUGUUUUGCUGCUCCUUUUUUUCUUUCUUUUCUUAAUAUGGUCCUGGCUCACAGCAAGGCCACUACCUGACAAGCAGAUGAGUCACUUCCUAUGGGCACAGCGGGGGUACAACUUGAUAGCUACAAAACCAGACAACCUCUCGCCAUGCGCUCACCCUGUUCCCAGACCCGGGUGGUGGUCUGGGGGGUUGGAAGGGGCGGGAAGGGCGCUGUCUUAAGAAUCAUCCUCACAUCUCAGGGCUUCGCCCCUCGAGGGAGGUGACCCUUGGCCACCCUCUGCGCAGUUCUCCCUGAAAGGUCAUGCCACGUCUUAGCACUCUGGUCCCUGCGCCCCUGCAGGCCUCGCGGAUCCCCCACUUGUCUCGACGCAGGGGACGCCCACUUGUCUGACGCAGGGGACGUGGCUGAAGUCAGUCGGGCCGCCCGCUUGCUGCACGGCAGCCGUGGGACUGGCACAGGCUCCUCGGCAGCAUUAUGGGCAGCUGGUAGAGCGGCCACUUCUGAGAGCCGGAUGGGCCUUCCGAGGUCGGGCCGUGCCCCGCUGGGCAGCGCAGAGGGGGUGUGUAGGGCACGCGACUUGGAGCCAGGUCCAGACCCAUCCUGGCUCCUCUCAGGGCUCCUUCCCCUGCCCCCAUUCCACCCCAGCCCUGCUGGCUGUCCCGCAGGACCCAGCGCCGCGGUAGCCUUCUCUGAACUGCGGCUCAGGCGGAGGUGUCACUCCUGCCUCCAGCCCAGGAGGGCAGGUCAGGUUAUGCAACGCGUGCCGCGCGAUCUCCCCCCACCUCCAACCCCCUUUUCUCCCGGGUCCACACCGCAGUUCCCACCGCUCCGGGUGUCCUCCCCAGUGCGCCGCGAUUUUUGUGUCCAAGCCCCAGAGUCCCUCUGAGACCAACCCCCAGCCAGCACAGACUUCCUGCCUU
This 1164-nucleotide long non-coding RNA is filed under the name Homo sapiens (human). RNAcentral describes it as "non-protein coding LINC00941:1". The record is from RNAcentral. Lineage: Eukaryota; Metazoa; Chordata; Mammalia; Primates; Hominidae.